CAUGCAAGUCGAACGGAAAUCUUUUAGAUUUUAGUGGCGAACGGGUGAGUAACACGUAAGCAACCUGCCUUUAAGACGAGAAUAACAAUUGGAAACAGUUGCUAAGGCUGGAUAGGAAAUAAAAAGGAAUCUUUUUAUUUUUAAAAGACCUUUUUCGGAAGGUAUGCUUAAAGAGGGGCUUGCGUCACAUUAGUUAGUUGGUAGGGUAAAGGCCUACCAAGACGAUGAUGUGUAGCUGGACUGAGAGGUUGAACAGCCACAUUGGGACUGAGACACGGCCCAAACUCCUACGGGAGGCAGCAGUAGGGAAUUUUCGGCAAUGGAGGAAACUCUGACCGAGCAACGCCGCGUGAACGACGAAGUACUCCGGUAUGUAAAGUUCUUUUAUUGAAGAAGAAACAAUAGUGGAAAAACUAUCUUGACGUUAUUCAAUGAAUAAGCCCCGGCUAACUAUGUGCCAGCAGCCGCGGUAAUACAUAGGGGGCGAGCGUUAUCCGGAAUUAUUGGGCGUAAAGGGUGCGUAGGCGGUUUAAUAAGUCUCUAGUUUAAUUUCAACGCUUAACGUUGUCCUGCUAGAGAAACUGUUUAACUAGAGUGAGAUAGAGGUAAGCGGAAUUCCAUGUGUAGCGGUAAAAUGUGUAAAUAUAUGGAGGAACACCAGAGGCGUAGGCGGCUUACUGGGUCUUUACUGACGCUGAUGCACGAAAGCGUGGGGAGCAAACAGGAUUAGAUACCCUGGUAGUCCACGCCGUAAACUAUGAGUACUAAGUGUCGGGGUUAAACUCGGUACUGAAGUUAACACAUUAAGUACUCCGCCUGAGUAGUACGUACGCAAGUAUGAAACUUAAAGGAAUUGACGGGAUCCCGCACAAGCGGUGGAUCAUGUUGUUUAAUUCGAAGAUACACGAAAAACCUUACCAGGUCUUGACAUACUCUGUAAAGCUAUAGAAAUAUAGUGGAGGUUAUCAGGGAUACAGGUGGUGCAUGGUUGUCGUCAGCUCGUGUCGUGAGAUGUUAGGUUAAGUUCUAAAACGAGCGCAACCCCUGUCGUUAAUUGCCAGUACGUUAUGGUGGGGACUUUAGCGAGACUGCCAAUGAAAAAUUGGAGGAAGGUGGGGAUUACGUCAAAUCAUCAUGCCCCUUAUGAUCUGGGCUACAAACGUGAUACAAUGGCUAUUACAAAGAGUAGCUGAAACGCGAGUUUUCGGCAAAUCUCAAAAAAAUAGUCUCAGUUCGGAUUGAAGUCUGCAACUCGACUUCAUGAAGUUGGAAUCGCUAGUAAUCGCGAAUCAGCAUGUCGCGGUGAAUACGUUCUCGGGGUUUGUACACACCGCCCGUCAAACCACGAAAGUGGACAAUACCCGAAAGCGACAGCCUAAC
This 1380-nucleotide ribosomal RNA is filed under the name Coconut palm phytoplasma. RNAcentral describes it as "bacterial SSU rRNA". It matches the Rfam family "Bacterial small subunit ribosomal RNA". The record is from RNAcentral. Lineage: Bacteria; Bacillati; Mycoplasmatota; Mollicutes; Acholeplasmatales; Acholeplasmataceae.